RNAcentral lists this long non-coding RNA (2124 nucleotides) under Rattus norvegicus (Norway rat). Its description in RNAcentral is "long non-coding RNA NONRATT023587". The stretch from base 32 to 100 matches the Rfam family "tRNA". Lineage: Eukaryota; Metazoa; Chordata; Mammalia; Rodentia; Muridae. The record is from RNAcentral.
GACAAUACUUAGAAAUGUUAGAUAAGGGGUUGGGGAUUUAGCUCAGUGGUAGAGCGCUUGCCUAGGAAGCGCAAGGCCCUGGGUUCGGUUCCCAGCUCCGAAAAAAAGAACCAAAAAAAAAAAAAGAAAUGUUAGAUAAUUUGCUCAAGUUUCUGUAGUUAGCCAAUAUUGGCUACAGUCAUCUGUCUCUUAACAUCGGUUUCUUCGUUAAUGUUUUCCCCCAGAAAUGCAGUCCAGUUAUUGAUGGAUGUUGAUUUAUCCUAUGAGUGACCAAAAUUUCUUAAUUCUAAAUAUUUGAAGUACUUAAAACACGUUUCUUAAAUUCUUGAAGUUUAGUACUUUUGACUUGGUAGCUCCUGCUAUUUGAUCAGUCACUACUAGUGUAUAUUUUUUAAAACUGAGCCUGUGUCUUCAUUCCCUUCUAUUUGUCUUCUAAUCCUAAUUUGCAGAUGUAUCCUGAAGCCUUCUUGCCUAUCUGGGUACCAGAUGUGACCUCAAGAGAUGGCUGCUGUAUACUUUUUGCAACUGGUUUGAUAUCACAUUUCAGCUCCAACUUUGCAUCCUGAGAACACUUAAAUGUUUCUGCAGGUCCAUUUUAUACAACUUGAAAGACCUUAAAACUUUCUGGUUGCCACAAGCAUAUCUUUCUUUUCUGCUCAUCCACUAAACAGCUGUGCCCUACUGUGAUAGGUUUUCCAGACAAAAGUACCUGGAACAGCAGUUUAGCAAAGAAUGCCUUCGGUGGCACUCAACAUGUGGAGUCUCCCCAAGCACAGCUCUGUGAGAAGUGUGAGUGUGUGCGUGUGUGUGUGUGUCUGUGUUUUAAGUUAUUAUUUGUAUUGUGCAAAACUUUUUGAUCUUGGGGAUUCUGGCUGUGAAUUUGAUGCACGACAAUUAUGGUUAAAAACAUUUUCUUGGUCUACAGAAGAUCAUUAAUGUUUGGUGACCAUAUAAGUUGUAACAGUGGGUUGUUUAUGUGUAGGUAUUAUCGUUAAAUACAGGGACUGUUUCCAGGCACAGAAUUUGAAUCGUAAGUUAGGAUGGACAUUAGACGUGAUUAUGAUGAUAUAGGGAAGGUCUGCAGUCCUGAAUCUGCAAAUCCAUGGUGAGAAAUUAGAACAAACUGGAGACAGGCCAUCAGUAUAUGGACUCUGCCUAGCUGUGCUGGAAAAAUACUUUGACUCCAAGCCUUAAAAUACCCUGUGGAGUCUGAGCUCACCUCAUUCAUACAGUCAUGGAGCUCCCUGGACGCCGAACUUCUACAGGGAGAAGAUCUCCCCUGGAGCAGAAGAUCAGGGUGUGCUCGGAGCGGAGUGUGUAACAGGAGUGCGGGGCUGGGCCAGGCUCGCAGCACUGCUACGUGGGAGGAGCCACUCACCUUUGCAUCAGUUUCAACAUAGAAUCUGGAGCCUUUGUCCAGGUUCCCCCAAAUUCUCCUCUAAGGUGUCCGUGAUCAACUGUUAGAGCUUGGUUUUGGCAAUACCCUGCCUGAAGUUGCUUAAUGGCUGCUCUUUGCCUUGAUCCCAAGGCUGUGAGCAGAAAGCAGCCUCUGUUUUGAGGAGGUGGGAGUUAAGUAUACAUUUAUUUUUACUGUGACUUGUUCAGGACCACAUUUUACAAAAUGCCUUGUUUCCUUUACUAUUGUUUUGGAAAGGAAAGUUUUAUGAAAACUGUUUUAGUUUGAAUAUAGAAUAGUUUUAUUAAUUACGGCUUUAUUUUGGAAAAAUCUUGAGUUUUAAUUCAAAUGUUUGCCAAUACCUUCCAAAGUAAGGUGAUAUUCAGAGACAGUUGUUGUGAUCAGCUGGCUUGCGGACAUUUCUGGGGUAUUCACAUUUGAAGAUUCCUUAUUAAUGAAUGUCUUUGACUUAAAUCUAACCAAAAACUGCAACAUUAUUCUUUGUACAUUUUCAUUAUAUAGUGUUAACAAGCUUAGUUGCAAACAAAUAAAAUACUUAAGCUAUUUGUUUACCUUUCUUCUUGAUACUGUGGUGGCGUUUAGUUCAGGUAACUCUGUAAGGCUGCUAUAAUCCUUUCCACGGUUCAACACCCUGUUGGAGAUUCACAGACUCCGAGAGCCCACCAGUGUGCUUUUAAUAAUUAAAGAAUGACUGACUCACCUAAAGG